Octodon degus (degu) is the source of this 1541-nucleotide RNA transcript. It is a transcript of the gene named splicing factor, proline- and glutamine-rich pseudogene, with no coding region annotated. The record is from RefSeq and is a predicted model, not a curated record. Lineage: Eukaryota; Metazoa; Chordata; Mammalia; Rodentia; Octodontidae. The transcript is spliced from 3 exons.
AUGGCGGCGUCGGCAUUCUGGUGCUUUGUGUCUUCCAGCCUGCGGAGCUUCGGUGGGGGUGGGCAGUGGGUGGAGGGGGAGCUGCUGCAGGACCAGAGAUUUCUCGAUUUUGUGGAACAGAGCCCCCAGAAGAGCUGGCACCGGCGUCAUCCGCCAUUUCGUCGCCACCCGCCCUACCACCAGCAGCACCACCAGGGACCCCGCCCGGCGGGCCCGCGGCCGCAGCGAGGAGAAGAUCUCCGGCUCGGAGGGAUUUAAAGCCAACUUAUCUCUACUGCGGAGGCCGGGAGAGAAAACUUACACUCAGCGUUGCCGGUUGUUUGUUGGGAAUCUGCCUGCAGAUAUCACGGAGGAUGAAUUUAAAAGACUGUUUGCUAAAUAUGGAGAACCGGGAGAGGUUUUUAUCAAUAAAGGCAAAGGAUUCAGAUUUAUUAAGCUUGAAUCUAGAGCCUUGGCUGCAAUUGCCGAAGCUGAACUUGAUGAUACGCCCAUGAGGGGCAGACAGCUGCGAGUUCGUUUUGCGACACAUGCUGCUGCCCUGUCCGUAAUCUUUCACCUUAUGUUUCCAGUGAACUGUUGGAAGAAGCCUUUAGCCAGUUUGGUCCUAUAGAAAGGGCGGUUGUAAUUGUGGAUGAUCGAGGAAGAUCUACAGGGAAAGGCAUAGUUGAAUUUGCUUCUAAACCAGCGGCAAGAAAAGCAUUUGAAAGAUGCAGUGAAGGUGUUUUCCUAUUGACAACAACGCCUGGGCCAGUCAUUGUGGAACCACUUGAACAAUUGGAUGAUGGAGAUGGUCUUCCUGAAAAACUUGCCCAGAAGAAUCCAAUGUAUCAAAAGGAGAGGGAACACCACCUCGUUUUGCUCAACAUGGCCCAUUUGAGUAUGAAUAUUCUCAGCGAUGGAAAUCUUUGGAUGAAAUGGAGAAACAGCAAAGGGAACAAGUUGAAAAAAACAUGAAGGAUGCAAAAGACAAGUUGGAAAGUGAAAUGGAAGAUGCCUAUCAUGAGCAUCAGGCAAAUCUUUUGCGCCAAGAUCUGAUGAGACGCCAGGAAGAAUUAAGACGUAUGGAAGAACUUCAUAAUCAAGAAAUGCAGAAACGCAAAGAAAUGCAAUUGAGGCAAGAAGAGGAACGGCGUAGAAGGGAGGAAGAGAUGAUGAUUCGCCAACGAGAGAUGGAAGAACAGAUGAGACGCCAAAGAGAGGAAAGUUACAGUCGAAUGGGCUACAUGGAUCCAAGAGAAAGAGACGUGAGAAUGGGUGGUGGAGGAGCAAUGAGCGUGGGAGAUCCUUAUGGUUCAGGAGGCCAGAAAUUUCCACCUCUGGGUGGUGGUGGCGGUGGCAUAGGUUAUGAAGCUAAUCCCGGAGUUCCACCAGCAACCACGAGUGGUUCCAUGAUGGGAAGCGACAUGCGUACUGAGCGCUUUGGGCAGGGAGGUGCGGGCCUGGGUGGCCAGGGUCCUAGAGGAAUGGGGCCUGGAGCUGCAGCAGGAUAUGGCCGAGGGAGGGAAGAAUAUGAAGGCCCAAACAGAAAACCCCGAUUUUAG